RNAcentral lists this ribosomal RNA (490 nucleotides) under uncultured bacterium. Its description in RNAcentral is "partial 16S ribosomal RNA". It matches the Rfam family "Bacterial small subunit ribosomal RNA", at positions 28 to 507 of the family's 1533-position model. The record is from RNAcentral.
GAUGAACGCUCGCUACAGGCUUAACACAUGCAAGUCGCGGGGCAGCAUGGGGGUUGCUUGCAAUCCCUGAUGGCGACCGGCGCACGGGUGAGUAACGCGUAUCCAACCUGCCCUUCACCACGGGAUAACCCGGCGAAAGUCGGACUAAUACCGUAUGUUGUCCAUUGACGGCCUCCGAUUUGGACGAAAGGCUUAGCGGUGAGGGAUGGGGAUGCGUCCGAUUAGCUUGACGGCGGGGUAACGGCCCACCGUGGCUACGAUCGGUAGGGGUUCUGAGAGGAAGGUCCCCCACACUGGAACUGAGACACGGUCCAGACUCCUACGGGAGGCAGCAGUGAGGAAUAUUGGUCAAUGGGCGUAAGCCUGAACCAGCCAAGUAGCGUGCAGGAUGACGGCCCUAUGGGUGGUAAACUGCUUUUAUGCGGGGAUAAAGGGACCCACGUGUGGGUUUUUGCAGGUACCGCAUGAAUAAGGACCGGCUAAUUCCGUG